AAUUGCUAGUAAUGGCAGGUCAGCAUACUGCCGUGAAUACGUUCCCGGGCCUUGUACACACCGCCCGUCACACCAUGAGAGUUGGGAUACCCGAAGCCUGUGAGCUAACAGUAAUGAAGCAGCAGUCGAAGGUAGAAUCAAUGAUUGGGGUGAAGUCGUAACAAGGUAAC
This 170-nucleotide ribosomal RNA is filed under the name uncultured bacterium. RNAcentral's name for it is "partial 16S ribosomal RNA". It matches the Rfam family "Bacterial small subunit ribosomal RNA", at positions 1330 to 1500 of the family's 1533-position model. The record is from RNAcentral.